Long non-coding RNA from Scatophagus argus, 1768 nucleotides. RefSeq lists it as uncharacterized. NCBI's taxonomy places the organism in Eukaryota, Metazoa, Chordata, Actinopteri, Scatophagidae. The record is from RefSeq and is a predicted model, not a curated record. The transcript is spliced from 3 exons.
UGCCUCUCAAACAGACGUAAUCCGUGGAUCAGGGCGGCAGGCGUUCAGUCUGUGGAGAGUAGGUCUCGGACGGAAGUGAUGAGAGUGAAAAUACCCACUGUGGCAGACUUGAAGAAACCGCAUCAGUCCACUUCAAGGACAGUGAAACCUGCUGUUUCGCAAACAGGAGGUGAAGGAGAAAACUGUGUUCACGUUGUGCCUCCUGUCGCUGACUUUUGUGACUCCAUGAAGACCAUUUCCAUCAGAUGCUGUUAUGGCCAGUUUUGAACUGAAGAUGAAAGACUUGGAGUUCCUCUGACUAAUGAGGUGGUAUUAAUACAAUCAAUCAGACCCUCUCGCUUUAUGUUCAAGCUUAAACCCACCACAAAACAUCUUGUGUAACAUUGCCAAAACCGUCUUUGCACUGUGGACGGUGGACACAUUCUGCCACUGUCCUGUGUCAUGUGCGACCUGAGCCCUGUGGUUUGAGUGAAGUCUUGUCCCACCCAGAGCUUCUGACCCCCCCCCCCACGUCAGCUCGGCUCGCGCUCACAGUCCCACUUGUCCCGCUUGCCUCGGUGAACAUUCAACGCUGUCGGUGAGUUUGGUAUGGAUCACAUAAAAACCAUCGACCGUUGACUGUGCCCCGCGGCUGGCUCUGGCAACGUCAGGAAUGAGCAAAAAUGAACAAAAGGGCAAGUGGGCGCAUGCAAAUCUCCGAGACGAAGGGACACACACGCACGCACAAAAGUGACACUCUGUUUCCACUGCACCCAAAGACCAAAGGUCACAAUCAACAUUCAUUGCUGUCGCUGGGUUGGACUGUGUAGAAAAGCUCACUGAACAAUGAGUGCAACUGUGGCCCAGAUCUGCCUGACUCGUGUCUCAGCCAAUCAGCCGACCGGAUGUGAAACACUCUGAUUUCUUUAUUUAUAUACUUCUUGUUUUUCACUUCUAUUUUCUCCUCUCUUCCUCUCCUCCCUGGCGCUGGGAGUCUUCAGGGGGAGGAGAGAGAGGGGGAGAAAGAGAGAGAGAGAGAGAGAGAGACACAAAUAGACUUCUGGCUGCUUGCUUGUCCUCAUCCUCCUCUCUUCUCCUCUAAUUGGCGGUUAUGUGUGCAGCAAGGGGGAAGGAAGCGGAGUGAAUGUGUAAUCAUUUGGAGUCUCUUCUCCUUUAGAUGUUGCAUCCCUCUCUUUUUUGUUUGUCUAAUUAUAUACUGAGCCCAGUUAACUCUGUGCUAACUGUGCUGGCAAGAAUGAAUGAGUGACAAACAGAGGGAGGACAAGGAAGUGUGUUUUGGGUGGGUAGGGGGGGUUAGAAAGAUUAUAGCAGCAGCAAAAUUAUUAUCUAGUUUUUAGUAUAUCUCAAUAUUCUUCCUGGUGCUACUGCGAGUGUGCAAGGAUACAAGCAGUUUUCAAAUCCUGAAAGAAGACCAUGCAUGUCUCAUUAUCUGUGUUUGAGUUUCAUGUGUGUGUGUGUGUGUGUGAGAGAGAGAGAGAAAACCUUUCUGCUGAUCUCAGAGUGUAAUAUGUUAUUUUCUUCUCUUACGAAAGCAGCGUGCUCCCUCAUGGGAAAACUGUCUCUGACCUUGUCUUCCCUCAGACAGCCUGGGACUGGCCAUGCUGCUGCCAUUUCUCACACUGUGUCCUCGAUCUGUAGUCCAUGUAAACACACAUGGCACAUGUAUUUGGCAUUUUGUGUUUUAUGAUCUCAUGAAGUGCUGAUAUUUGCUGGACGUUUUUAAGGCUGGUUCACUAAAUAAUUCAAUAAAGUUAAAUCACAAGUCACA